AAAGCCUGAUCCAGCCAUGCCGCGUGUGUGAAGAAGGCUUUCGGGUUGUAAAGCACUUUCAGCGAGGAAGAAGGCCUGAUGAUUAAUACUUGUCAGGAAGGACAUCACUCGCAGAAGAAGCACCGGCUAACUCCGUGCCAGCAGCCGCGGUAAUACGGAGGGUGCAAGCGUUAAUCGGAAUUACUGGGCGUAAAGCGCGCGUAGGUGGCUUGAUAAGCCGGUUGUGAAAGCCCCGGGCUCAACCUGGGAACUGCAUCCGGAACUGUUAGGCUAGAGUGCAGGAGAGGAAGGUAGAAUUCCCGGUGUAGCGGUGAAAUGCGUAGAGAUCGGGAGGAAUACCAGUGGCGAAGGCGGCCUUCUGGACUGACACUGACACUGAGGUGCGAAAGCGUGGGUAGCAAACAGGAUUAGAUACCCUGGUAGUCCACGCCGUAAACGAUGUCGACUAGCCGUUGGGAGCCUC
Molecule: ribosomal RNA, 463 nt
Filed under: uncultured bacterium
Lineage: Bacteria
Description: bacterial SSU rRNA
Rfam family: Bacterial small subunit ribosomal RNA
Source: RNAcentral